AUCAUCUCUAUCAUCCUAUCAUCCAUAUAUGUCUUGUAAUCAUCCGCAAAAACCCACAUCACAUCGACCUUCCGCAUAUCCACAAUAACCAUUCAAUUCCGAUCCCGUCUCGCUUCACUUCACCCACAUUCCUCCGCGUCUCUUCCUUCUCGGAUGUCAUCCGCUGCAUCUUCCAAGCGAGCCCUGCUCGCCGAGGACGCUCCGUGGAGGGCUACACCCGGCGGCAGUAAGCCCGUUCCCAGGAUCCAUCAGAACCCUGUUCUCCGGCUACGGCAAAAUCCUAGCUCAAGCUAUGCUCUUGCUGUCAUGAAGCAUCCUGAUCCGAUUGGAGGGGGUUUCGCUACUGAGGCUAAGCUUGAAGCUGCGGGCCCUGAAUGUGUUGUACCCGGGCAGGCCACCCCUGUGAAGCUUCUUGGAUUGAAGGUUUGGCCUAUUGAUAUUAACUUGAAAUUUAUGGAACCUGUUGGACGGGAAUUGCAAUCUAUUGGGAAGGUCCUAAACUACUUAUGGAAUUGGCCAAUAAUUUCACAUCACAUGCUACUCAGAUUAUUCAAUGGUUUCUCUUAAAUUUAUUGGAAGGUUUGGAAUAAAGUUAUUCAGCUUGGGUUUUCCAAGUGACAAGAGUGUUCAUGGAUUCUGCAGUGAACCUCAUGAAUGCAUCAUUUCAAGAUCGUUAGCCGAUGGUUUGGUAGUUUGUAAAGCUUGAAGAUAGCAUGCAACAAGCCUGAUAUCUGUUGAUAUCCGAAUGUUAUAGAGCAUACAUAUGAUUUGCCUAAAUGCGGCAUUAGAUUGGCUUGAGUUCAAGGGAGGCAACAAAAUUAAGUGCAAUUGAAGUAUAUUUGUAUAUGAGCAGAACAUUUUCUUCUUUGUGCUGGAUAUUGGUUUGAAGUUUGUAUUUCAGUCAAAAUACGUUCAUAUAGACAUUAAUAAGACGUGAAGUAUUCUCUAUUAAAUUUUA
Molecule: RNA transcript, 958 nt
Organism: Dioscorea cayenensis subsp. rotundata (Guinea yam)
Lineage: Eukaryota; Viridiplantae; Streptophyta; Magnoliopsida; Dioscoreales; Dioscoreaceae
Exons: 5
Source: RefSeq, a predicted model, not a curated record